RNAcentral lists this ribosomal RNA (501 nucleotides) under uncultured bacterium. Its description in RNAcentral is "partial 16S ribosomal RNA". It matches the Rfam family "Bacterial small subunit ribosomal RNA", at positions 29 to 523 of the family's 1533-position model. The record is from RNAcentral.
AUUGAACGCUGGCGGCAUGCCUUACACAUGCAAGUCGAACGGCAGCACGGGUGCUUGCACCUGGUGGCGAGUGGCGAACGGGUGAGUAAUACAUCGGAACGUACCUUAUCGUGGGGGAUAACGCAGCGAAAGCUGUGCUAAUACCGCAUACGCCCUGAGGGGGAAAGCGGGGGAUCGAAAGACCUCGCGCGAUUAGAGCGGCCGAUGCCUGAUUAGCUUGUUGGUGGGGUAAAAGCCCACCAAGGCGACGAUCAGUAGCUGGUCUGAGAGGACGAUAAGCCACACUGGGACUGAGACACGGCCCAGACUCCUACGGGAGGCAGCAGUGGGGAAUUUUAGACAAUGGGGGCAACCCUGAUCCAGCAAUGCCGCGUGAGUGAAGAAGGCCUUCGGAUUGUAAAGCUCUUUUGUCAGGGAAGAAACACCGGCUCUAACACAGUCCGGGAAUGACGGUACCUGAAGAAUAAGCACCGGCUAACUACGUGCCAGCAGCCGCGGUAA